GUUAGCUGCGCUACCAAGGCCCGAAGGCCCCAACAGCUAGUUUGACAUCGUUUUAGGGCGUGGACUACCAGGGGKAUCUAAUCCUGGUUUGCUCCCCACGCUUUCGUGCAUGAGCGUCAGUGUCAUCCCAGGGGGCUGCCUUCGCCAUCGGUGUUCCUCCGCAUAUCUACGCAUUUCACUGCUACACGCGGAAUUCCACCCCCCUCUGACGCACUCUAGUUCGACAGUUAAAAAUGCAGUUCCAAGGUUAAGCCCUGGGAUUUCACAUCUUUCUUUCCGAACCGCCUGCGCACGCUUUACGCCCAGUAAUUCCGAUUAACGCUUGCACCCUACGUAUUACCGCGGCUGCUGGCACGUAGUUAGCCGGUGCUUAUUCUGCAGGUACCGUCAUCUACACAGGGUAUUAACCCAUGCAAUUUCUUUCCUGCCAAAAGUGCUUUACAACCCGAAGGCCUUCAUCGCACACGCGGGAUGGCUGGAUCAGGGUUGCCCCCAUUGUCCAAAAUUCCCCACUGCUGCCUCCCGUAGG
This 529-nucleotide ribosomal RNA is filed under the name uncultured beta proteobacterium. RNAcentral's name for it is "partial 16S ribosomal RNA". The record is from RNAcentral. Lineage: Bacteria; Pseudomonadati; Pseudomonadota; Betaproteobacteria.